RNAcentral lists this ribosomal RNA (305 nucleotides) under uncultured bacterium. RNAcentral's name for it is "bacterial SSU rRNA". It matches the Rfam family "Bacterial small subunit ribosomal RNA", at positions 332 to 655 of the family's 1533-position model. The record is from RNAcentral.
UUGACCUACGGGGGGCAGCAGUGGGGGAUAUUGCACAAUGGGGGAAACCCUGAUGCAGCGACGCCGCGUGGGUGACGAAGUAUUUCGGUAUGUAAAGCCCUAUCAGCAGGGAAGAAUAAUGACGGUACCUGACUAAGAAGCCCCGGCUAACUACGUGCCAGCAGCCGCGGUAAUACGUGGGGGGCAAGCGUUAUCCGGAUUUACUGGGUGUAAAGGGAGCGUAGACGGCCAGACAAGUCUGAAGUGAAAAUCCAGCGCUUAACGUUGGAAGUGCUUUGGAAACUGCCGGGCUAGAGUGCAGGAGG